AAAACUCAUUCUUCAAGGUUUUGGUUUUGAAUAGUUAAAUGCACAAUUUGAUUUCAUCAUCAAAGAAAAAAGAUUACAAUUCCAGAAUAUUGGAAAUGUUCAAUGAGUUCAAAGAAUUGUUGCUGAUUGCCCAGCAAGCACUGAUGAAUGAACAUGUUCAGAGCACAGGAGUCAACAAUGGUUUGUGAAGAAAAUGAGCUUCCAAGUUUGCAAUAACAAGGUCUGCCAUGGCUGUGCAAGUUUCUACUGUAUCACUUGCAACAUGGGACAAUAGAACAACAUUCUCAAGUCCGAACAAUUGUUCAGGAACCUCUGGUUCUCUCUGAUAAACAUCAAGACCAGCUCCACCAAUACGACCUUCAGUCAGUGCAGCUACAAGUUCAGAUUCAUCUACAUGUGCACCUCGUCCUAUGUUGAUUAUGAUGCCCUUUGGACCUAAUGCAUCAAGCACUAUGCGAUUGACUAUGUUUCGAGUUUCUUCAGUCAAAGCGCAUGCAACAAUAAGGAUUUCAGAGUUUGCAGCCAAAUCGACCACAGUAGAGUAGUAUUUGUAGUUGAUGUUUGGUUUCUUGGAUCUGGAGUGGUAGCUAAUGGGGCAUCCAAAAGCUUCAGCUCUCUUUGCUAUUGCUGAACCAAUUCUGCCCAAUCCAAUUAUGCCAACUGAUUUACCGCUGAACUGAAACAAGGCGCAGUCAUCAUUUGUUAAAAAUGAAAACAAAAGACCAAACAAUAGAAGAAUUCAGCAUUUGAAUUUUUGUUAUGAAAAAAGAAAGAUCCAGGUCUAACGUAAGUUCACUAUGUUUACUGUUUUACAUACUUUGAGGCCUUGAGACGAUAUAUCCAUACUAUUUCAAGACUCAACAGGCAUUCUGCUAAGGAACGCCUAUAAGUACCUACUACUCGUUUUCUAAAU
RNAcentral lists this unclassified non-coding RNA (913 nucleotides) under Hevea brasiliensis (rubber tree). Lineage: Eukaryota; Viridiplantae; Streptophyta; Magnoliopsida; Malpighiales; Euphorbiaceae. The record is from RNAcentral.